RNAcentral lists this ribosomal RNA (496 nucleotides) under uncultured bacterium. Its description in RNAcentral is "partial 16S ribosomal RNA". It matches the Rfam family "Bacterial small subunit ribosomal RNA", at positions 28 to 506 of the family's 1533-position model. The record is from RNAcentral.
GAUGAACGCUGGCGGCGUGCCUAAUACAUGCAAGUCGAGCGAACGGACGAGAAGCUUGCUUCUCUGAUGUUAGCGGCGGACGGGUGAGUAACACGUGGAUAACCUACCUAUAAGACUGGGAUAACUUCGGGAAACCGGAGCUAAUACCGGAUAAUAUUUUGAACCGCAUGGUUCAAAAGUGAAAGACGGUCUUGCUGUCACUUAUAGAUGGAUCCGCGCUGCAUUAGCUAGUUGGUAAGGUAACGGCUUACCAAGGCAACGAUGCAUAGCCGACCUGAGAGGGGGAACGGGCACACAGGAGGUGAGAGACGGUCCAGGCUCCUACGGAAGGCAGCAGUAGGGAAUCGUCCGCGAUGGGCGGAAGACUGACGGAGCGACGGCGCGUGAGUGAUGAAAGUCUGCGGAUCGUAAAACUCUGUUAUUAGGGAAGAACAUAUGUGUAAGUAACUGAGCACAUCUUGACGGUACCGACUCAGAAAGCCACGGCUAACUACGU